GCCGAGGUGGCCCAGUCCGGUACGGCGCGAGCCUGGAGAGCUCGUGGGCAUUUUUGCCCGCGGGAGUUCAAAUCUCCCCCUCGGCG
RNAcentral lists this transfer RNA (86 nucleotides) under Thermoplasmata archaeon. RNAcentral's name for it is "tRNA-Ser". It matches the Rfam family "tRNA". Rfam says of the family: Transfer RNA (tRNA) molecules are approximately 80 nucleotides in length. Their secondary structure includes four short double-helical elements and three loops (D, anti-codon, and T loops). RNAcentral also lists the same sequence under 1 other name. The record is from RNAcentral. Lineage: Archaea; Methanobacteriati; Thermoplasmatota; Thermoplasmata.